CGCCCUGCCCAGGGAUCAAACCAGCAGCCUUAGCCUUCCGGUGUCCGGAACGACGCCCAGCCCACUGAGCCACACAGGUCAGGGCAAGAGUCUUCGCUGUCAAGUUGGCCGCAGAGUUGGCAGGCACUCGGAGAGCACAGCCUGCUGCACGGGUGAUGGCAGGGCCAGGCCCCCAGGGCCCCAGGGCCCCCCCCACCCCGUGGGAGAAGUGACAGCCCGGUGUGAAGGGAUGGGACACAGACACAGAGUAGGCGGCAGGGCCCGGGGGCGGGGGCGGGGGCGGCGAGCGUGCCACGGGGCAGAGGCUUAGUUCGAGAGAUGGAAGAAUUCUGUGGGUCGAGGGCGGUCACAGCUGCACGGCCCUGUGAGUGUGCCCAGGGCCACUGAGCUGCGCCCUGAGGAACGGCCAACAUGAUGGGUUUCGUGUUGCAUAUAUUUUAAAUAGCAGCAAUAAUAACGAGGCGGAGGCGCGGGAGGAGGAGAUCGGCUUGGUCUAGGGCUACCUCUUUCGGCUCCGGCCUGAUGGGAGAAGCAGGCCAGACGGAAGGUCUUGUCCCCGCAGACAAGUUGCCGCUCCCCGCCCCGCACCCGCCCCCUCGCGGGACAGUGACCUUCAGGAUGAAGCCGCCCCCUGCCUGGCCCUCACCUUCCAGGCCUUCUCCCAGGACCUGCUGGGCAGCUUCAGCGUCUCCGGGUUGGGAGGCGCGCCCCGCCCAGGAAUUCGCGGGGGCGUCCGGGUUAGGAGGUGCUGCAGCCCAGCCAGGCUCUCAGGUGUUCCCUAGACGGCCGGCGGCGGCGGCGGCAGCGGGACCAGAAGCGGGCACCGCGGCCCUGACGCGCCAGAGCCACCUGGCCCCACCGGGUCCGCCAGGCCCGCCCCCUGACGCCCCGGGUCCACAUGGAUGCACAGGAACCCGAAGACCUUGGGCGCGCGCUGCAGGGCGCGGUUCUUCCACCUGCGUGGUCCGGAGGAAGGAGACCUGCUGGGUACCGGACACCGCGGCUGGCCGUGGGCGGUGGUCUUCACACCGCGAGGAGGCGGGUUCUGGGCGGCCAGCGGCCAGUCUGUGGCGGGCAGAAAAGUCUACUUCAGGGACUUGAGGAACAUUUUCAAGCUCUGACUGCAACAUUAAAUCUCAGAAUGGAGGAGAUGGGGAGGCGCCUCCAGGACCUGCAGAGGAACGUGGACGAGCUGAUGGUGCAAGCCGGGGUCACGGAAGCCGCCGAGGAGCAGACGGUGAGGCCGUGGCUAGGGACCACGUUCUCCUACGGGUUCCUGCAGAGCCUGCGAUCACUUUCGUCUUGAAAACGCAGUCCCACCUUUGCUCACUGCGGGGGUCCCUCCCUUCGUACCUGGAAACCUUCAGAGUAACGAGGCUCUCACAAAUGCUCCUUUCAAAAUGUACCAGCCGAGCCCUGGCCCGGCCUCUCAGUGGGUUAGAGCGUCGUCCCGGUAAGCCAAGGUGUCGGGUUCGAUCCCCGGUCGGGGUGCAGACAGGAAACAACCGCUGAGUGCACCAGUGAGUGGAACAGCAAGUUGAUGUUGUUUCUCUCUCUCUCUCUCCCCCCUCAAAAUCACCACCUGGGAAAUCGCCCACACUUGCCUGCUAAACCAGAGCCAGUCCACGGUCCAAGACGUAAAGGUCUCCAUCCGGAGCACACUGGGGAGGGCUCUCAAACGCUGCCGUGGGUGAAGACGCACCUGUCCUCCUCGCGGAGGCUGCAUCAGACGGGCCCACCUGCCCUGCGGUCCCUUCUAGGCCUCCUGGACACUGGGCCAUCCCUCUGAGGGCUCGCUGGGGAAAGGCCAGUGCCCGAGGGCAGGGGCAGUGGGCCCGGUUCUGCAAGACCCCCAGUGGGCACACCCCCAGGCGUGGGAUGGCGGUGCGGGACUGAGUUCCUUCCGUCAUCACCUCGACUCCAGCCGGGUUUUAAAUCUGGCCAAACCACACUAAAUACUGGGCAUCAAACUGCAUGGUUCGGUGCGUAUCAAGACCUCACUUUCUGAUGCUCCUGCAGCCAUUCUUCAAAGCAGCAGAGAGGAGCCGCCAGGAAUCUAAGUCCGCUCAGAAAAACGUCAAUGCCUUUGACAUGAAAAGGCCUAAAUAAAUGUGGGUCUGGUUGGCUAAACCUGUGCUUGUUGGUGAUGUUAGGUCAGGGCCUGUGCCACGGGUUUCAGGGGAUUCAUUUGGCAAACCCCCAAACUCGUGUUCCUGUUGUGGGCAUUCUGAGUGGGACGAGAGUCCAUGACCCACGUGACGUCAGAAACCACUGUUCUACGUUCGGAAGGACCAGGCUCCUGGCCAGUGUCUGCAUUACACUACACCUGUGACACCUGUACCACGUCUCCUUCCACAGACAGGAGGGGGCUCUCCAGACCCCUGGGACCCCGGCGAUGGAAAGCAGACGCGAGGCGCCCUGCUAACUGGUCCUCACCGGGUGUCCUCGUUGACCCCGCCUGACUGAAACGAAGGUCGCUCGUCGUCAGGUUUUUCUGCACCCUGGAGUUUCCCCACGCAAAGGGUGUUUCCGUCGUCAUCACAGGGGACGAAGGCACCUCCAUCGAAAGCUUGGGCCCCGGUUUAUUUGACUGGGCGUUAACUGGUGCGUAAGCUGAUCUUUGCCUCUUUUCAACUUCUCCCUCACCCCCGCAGACAGCGGACCAGUCACUUGAAAAUGUGAUAAAAUGAAAACUUCUCUUUUAAAAUAUAUUUUGUUGAUUAUGCUGUUAGAGUUGUCCCAUUUUCUCCCCUGUAUUCCCCUCCACCCUGCACACCCCAUCCACCCAAUUC
Molecule: RNA transcript, 2792 nt
Organism: Phyllostomus hastatus (greater spear-nosed bat)
Lineage: Eukaryota; Metazoa; Chordata; Mammalia; Chiroptera; Phyllostomidae
Gene: HSBP1L1
Gene name: heat shock factor binding protein 1 like 1
Exons: 5
Source: RefSeq, a predicted model, not a curated record